GAUGAACGCUGGCGGCGUGCCUAAUACAUGCAAGUCGAGCGAACGGACGAGAAGCUUGCUUCUCUGAUGUUAGCGGCGGACGGGUGAGUAACACGUGGAUAACCUACCUAUAAGACUGGGAUAACUUCGGGAAACCGGAGCUAAUACCGGAUAAUAUUUUGAACCGAAGGGUUAAAAGGUAAAGGACGGCUUUGCGGUACGUACUCGAGGGUUCGGCGCUGCAUUAGCUAGUUGGUAAGGUAACGGCUUACCAAGGCAACGAUGCAUAGCCGACCUGAGAGGGUGAUCGGCCACACUGGAACUGAGACACGGUCCAGACUCCUACGGGAGGCAGCAGUAGGGAAUCUUCCGCAAUGGGCGAAAGCCUGACGGAGCAACGCCGCGUGAGUGAUGAAGGUCUUCGGAUCGUAAAACUCUGUUAUUAGGGAAGAACAUAUGUGUAAGUAACUGUGCACAUCUUGACGGUACCUAAUCAGAAAGCCACGGCUAACUACGUG
This 497-nucleotide ribosomal RNA is filed under the name uncultured bacterium. RNAcentral describes it as "partial 16S ribosomal RNA". It matches the Rfam family "Bacterial small subunit ribosomal RNA", at positions 28 to 507 of the family's 1533-position model. The record is from RNAcentral.